GGAGGGCAAGUCUGGUGCCAGCAGCCGCGGUUAUUCCAGCUCCAAUAGCGUAUAUUAAAGUUGUUGCGGUUAAAACGCUCGUAGUUGGAUUUGCGGCCGCGGAGAACGGUCCCCCGAAAGGGUGGUCACUGUCUCUCCUAGCCUAAAUUCGAGUUGUCUCUAAGUGCUCUUUACCGGGUGCUUAGAGUGACUAGAACGUUUACUUUGAAAAAAUUAGAGUGUUUAAAGCAGGC
This 233-nucleotide ribosomal RNA is filed under the name uncultured eukaryote. RNAcentral describes it as "partial 18S ribosomal RNA". It matches the Rfam family "Eukaryotic small subunit ribosomal RNA", at positions 550 to 785 of the family's 1831-position model. The record is from RNAcentral.